UGAGCUGUUGCUGGUCCUCAAAACAAGGGGGCAUGUGCACGCUCUGUUCACACAUCCACUCACACCUGUGCACCCACCGUAGUUCUAUGGUCUGGAGGACUUGCCGUCCUCUUCCCGUGGUUCUACGUCUUUACACAUACGCCGUAGCGAAGUCUUAUGGAAUGUGCGCCGCGUUUAACGCAAUACAAUACAACUUUCAGCAACGGAUCUCUUGGCUCUCGCAUCGAUGAAGAACGCAGCGAAAUGCGAUAAGUAAUGUGAAUUGCAGAAUUCAGUGAAUCAUCGAAUCUUUGAACGCACCUUGCGCCUCUUGGCUAUUCCGAGGGGCAUGCCUGUUUGAGUAUCAUGAACACCUCAACUCUCACGGUUUGCCCGUGAUGAGCUUGGACUUCUGGAGGCUUUGCUGGCCUAAGGCCGGCUCCUCUCAAAUAGAUCAGCUUACCAGUGUUUGGUGGCGCCAUGGGUGUGAUAACUAUCUACGCUUGUGGCCGUCUGCCAGGUAACCUUCAGCGAUGGAGGUUUGCUGGGGCUUACAAAUGUCUCUCCCCAGCGAAGACAGCUUUUUGAACGUUCGAUCUCAAAUCAGGUAGGACUACCCGCUGAACUUAAGCAUAUCAAUAA
Molecule: ribosomal RNA, 621 nt
Filed under: uncultured Thelephoraceae
Lineage: Eukaryota; Fungi; Basidiomycota; Agaricomycetes; Thelephorales; Thelephoraceae
Description: eukaryotic LSU rRNA
Rfam family: 5.8S ribosomal RNA (bases 192-346)
Source: RNAcentral